This 5614-nucleotide long non-coding RNA is filed under the name Pongo abelii (Sumatran orangutan). Its description in RNAcentral is "lincRNA". The record is from RNAcentral. Lineage: Eukaryota; Metazoa; Chordata; Mammalia; Primates; Hominidae.
AGACCGGGCGGGACCGGACCGCGGUUUGGGUCCAAGCCCAGCGGUGUUUGCGGCGGGUCCGGGGCCUGGAAGCGCUGGGGCGGCGCCAAGAACGAAACUGGAAAAUGGCCUUCAUUGGAAAAGCCCCAGUCCUCGGGGAGCAGAUCCCCCAUCUCUGGCAGUGCAGUGCGCCUGGGAGCUGUCUGGAACAUUCCGCAACGGUCACUCCUCUGCCCUGCAUUGGCCUUGACCACAUGACCCAGAGGCGCAGGGAGAAGCCUCCCUUGGAUGCUUGGAGAGGACUUCAGUGGCUGAGAGUGUCUAAGGAGAGCCGGGAACACCGCACGCUUCCUGCAGAUGGCAGGGCAGACCUGUGUGCAACAGUGCCUGAAGGGGAUCUCCCGUGGCACUACCUGGUCCAGGGAGGUCACGGAGAGCUCCUCCACCCUGAGCACAAGGGGUCCCACCAAGGACAAGGACAAGAUUCAGCACCGUCGCACACAGAACAGCUACCUGGAGCCACAGGUCACUUUCCAAAAAGGGAGUUUCCAGGCCAGAAGCCAUCCCUGCAGCAUUGUCUUUGUGCUCCAAGGGAAGCCCUGGCACACACUUCUGCUCAGAUGGAACCACUGUACCCUCAGUGUCCUUGUCAGUACCAGCUGGUGACUUUCCUACUCAAACCCUUCCUUCACUCUCUGCCUCAUUUUCUCAAGGUGCCGUGUUUGCCUGAAAGGACAUUGGCAGCCAGCAGGGGUGGCGGCUGGUCCUCUAGAUGGGCACGAAUGCCAUUGGCAGGCAAUGGGGCAGACUCCAUGGAAAGAUGCUUCCCUUCCUCAAGGUAUGCACUCAGCGGAGAGACCUCAUUGUCAAGUUCAGAGUUAUGCUGCAGACUGCACAGCCCCUCGCCUGCUUCUGGGACCUGCUCCGGUCAGCCCAGGACCCACCACAGCAGGACCCCCCCAUCCUGUGCUCACCCAGGGCUUGUCCAUGGCACUGGAAAGUCCUUCCUGUUCCUGAUCCCCCUCUGGGCGAGGGGUGGGCAGGGACAUGUGGCUCGUGCUGAGGUCUAAUACUGUGUUCCCAGCAUGGAAGCAGGUGGGGACACUUCUUGUGGCAUUCAGGAUUCCGUGUAGAAAGCUGUGGCCAUCACCCCUCCUCCCCACUCGGUUUUGUUAGUGGACCUUUCCCUGGCCCUUCUCUCCUUGGCCCACUCUUGGCAGGAGAGAGGAGGAGAGGAUCUCACUUUCCCCCUGUACCAGCCACACCCUCGGUCUGCGGGGUUCCCAGCAGCUGGCCAGGGAUGCUCCACACCUGGUGGCCAAGUAACCGUCCCCUCACUCUGGGCAUUUGUGCCCUCUCUGGGGUUGGAACAGGAAAGAAAGCCAAGACCUGUAUGUGGGACUUGAGUUGAGACUCAAUUCUGUAGAGUCAGGGGUGAGGAGGAGCCAGGCCUCCUGUGUGCUCUCCAUACCCCAGAGCCGGGUGCCCAGUUCCAUGGGUCCUGAUGGACAGAAGGGAAGAACGGGGGCUGCCGCACCGUGGGUGGCAAUGCAGGGGGAGCCACCUCCAGCUGAAUGCCCAGGGACUGCUGGGGGUUGCUGGCCCCUGGUCCCAGCAGUGGGUCCUGUUUCUUCUUUCCCCUCAGAAUGCAGGGUCCACCACCCCCAAACGUCCCCUCCACAUUUGGUGAAAUAGGAAGCUCCAUGGCUCUUACCCUUCCUUUAGGGUGACUGAGAGAUUUAUUUUCACAGAAGCCUCAGUGGCCUUGUCCGUACCCACCUCUGCACGUGGUUGCAGAAAGUGAAGGAUUGUCAGGGAGCAGGGCAGACAUUUGGUUUAUCUGUGUCGUUGGUCAAAGUUUUGUUUUUCCUCCAGAAGAAAAAGGCUUGUGAACAUGCCACCGUAUUCUUCAUUCCUUCUUUUGGAAAUGUAUGAAGAACGGGUGGCAUUUUGGAGUUAUUGGCCUGUGAACUGUUGGCCCAGAGGAAGAGUUAGAUGUGAGUGGGUGUGGCCGCCUCUGCCCCUCCCCAGCGCAGGUGUGUGUGGGCAGCCCAGGCAGGCGCUCAGGAAGGGUGAGGUGGAGCCUUGCACGCUCUGAGCACAAAGUCCUGGGAUCCCUUAAACCCAAGCACUGCCUUGACAGCAGCCAGCAUGGCUGAUAGAAGAGACACAGAAGUCCAGCUGAUGCCAGACAGAGGGCGUCACUAGAGAGCCGUGCUAGGUGGGGGUCAUUCAAGUUGUCUUGGUGUAUGCAGACGUUGCUUCUAUAGAGUCAGAAGCUCUAUAUGUGUAGCGUUGGAGCAGAAUUUCGGGAUAGUGAUGGCAAGCCUCCUCCCAAGUCAGCUGGGGAGUGUGGGGAGGGGUGGCCGGAGGAACCUGGUAUCCCCGGGUUAGGACCACAGAGGUGGCUCUGCCUGCAGCUCGGCCUCUGCCUCAUCCUGACUCCCCCUGCUUUGGCCAUGGCUCUUCUUGUCCUUCCUCUUCUCAGUGCAGGAGGACCCUGAAUCAAAUGCCUCAUCCUGGUUUGCAUUUUACCCUCGGAUGAAGCUUGUGGCGAACCCCAGGACUCUGUGUCUCCUGAGUCUCUGCAGACCUCGGGUCCUGGACCCAGAGACUCUUCUCCCUGGGGCAGGAGGCACUGGGGUGUGUGGAUGUGGAUGGCCUGGGGCACAGUAGCUGACGGGGGGACUUCCUAGCUUUCUGGGCCUUUCCAACUCUGAGUGUGACCUUCCUAUUCUUGAUCACAGCCCCCAACUUCGGAGCCUACUAGAGCCUGCAGAAUGCGGCUUCAUCCUCUUCCUCUGUGAGAAAAGGCGGGGCCUGGCAGUCUCGCGAAUCUUGUAUAUUUGCUCCCCACCUCGGUGGUGAAUACAUUCUUGGGUGGUGAAUACGUUCUCUCCUUGCCUUCACUCUAGAAAAGGCCCCUGUUUUGUGAUGUAGGAUGUGGUCAACGACUGACUCGUCCCUCUGGACCAUAGACACAGCUGUGAUUUCUGGUGUUCCUGGGCUCUGCACACAGCAGGAGCCACUCUGGGCUCUGUGAGGUGCAUCUUCUGUUCUUGUUGGCUCUUUUCCCUGCGUCUUCUGCCACUGCCCUGUUCUGGGUAGGAGGCUGUCACACUGUGGUGGCGGAUCCCCUCUUCUGCCUCCCCUCUUUGAUCCUUUUCUGUGAGGGUCUGCUGGGGUCCUGUGUGUCGUGCAUUGUUGAUAGAUUCCUGUUGUGCUUGCUGUCCUCCCCAUUCUAAGGGACCUCUGAUUGCCUGUGAGCAGUUUACAGGGGCCUCUCCUGGCCCCUUCACCCAAGGAAUUCCCACAACGCGUGAGUUUGUGAGGGGCGGAUCCUGGGAGUAUGUGACGUCAGGUGAGAAGGGAGGGCCCGUCCUAGUCCGGUGGGCUCCUCUAACAAAGUACAUUGGCUGGGGAGUUACUAACGCCCGAAAUGUGUUGUCAAAGUUCCGAAGGCUGAGAAGUCCAAGAUCAAGAUGCCUGAGGAUUCAGUGCCUGGUGAGGACCCAUUCCUUAGGGCAGUGCCUCUAGCUGUGUCCUCAUGUGGCCGAAGGGGACAAGGGAGGUUGCUGGAGCCUGUUUGAUGAGCGCACUAACUUCCUUCAGGAGGGGAUUAUUCAGAAAGUCUGCCUGGUUUCAGGGCAUUCCCAAAGGCCCCACCUGUUCGUUCUACCCCAUUGGGAAUUAGGCUUCAACAUAUAAAUUUGGGAGACACUGACAUUUAGGCCAUAGCGCGUCAAAGGCAAAGUGAGGCUGAGUGUGGAAAACAUCCCAGAAUCUGGAUGUGGCCCAGGCAGGAGGAAACUCAAAGUGAUGGGGUGACCGAGGUCCCUGGUCUGGGCAGGACUCAGUGGUGAGUAUGGCCCUGGGCACAGUGGCGGUGGCUUUUGGAGGAUGAUAGGGAACAUGUUGGUGGGGGGAGGGUGGAGCCCACUAUGAGUGGCAACUCCCUGGGGGCACAGGAAGCAAAGCUAGAGGUGGCUCCUCUCUCCCCUCCCUGCACACAGUGUCACCUCUGUGGUGGCCCUGUCGUCUGCCUCAGUUCACAGGUGUUGCUGUAACAACUCCUGAAAUUACCUUCAAAAGGAGGCUUGUGCAGGUGCCUGCAGGAGCCAGGAGACCGAAGUGCAUCCUGAGUGUCCGGGGACAGGCCAACCUGGCAGGGGUCCACGGCCCCGCAGUCCCAACGACUGCCUCAGAAUUGGGCAGAGAGCAUGCUUGGUUCUAGCUUGCAAGGCCCACAUCUCAGAGCUGGGGACAGUCAUGAAGGGUCCGUGAGCAUGGAGAGGGGGCAAAAAUGACCCAAGAACCUCCGGCCGCUGUGCUGCCAUCCAGCCAAGUGCAGUACCAGCCCUUCGGGCCUCGAGAUUCUCUGCCCUUCUCUGGGCCUUGCUGAUUUCCUCCUCCAGCCCCUCUGUUUGUGUACGCACAUACACACAUGCACGCACGCAUACGCACACCCAGUGCAAUUUCUCUCUGCUCCCCUGUACUCCCCCAAAUUCAAUGAGUUCCUCUUUCCUCCUCAGAGAUAUAGACCUGGGACCCAUCUCAGCCUGCAGAGGCCUGAAUCUUUUCCAGGAUUGUUUUCUAAUUCUCAGGUCCUGCUUUAAAACAAAACCUAUAACUUAAACUAAAACGCUUUCUGAAAAGAAUAAUACACCAACAUAAAGUCCGGGUAUCCUAAGGAUGCGGUGUGUAUGUUGUCUGAAAUUGAAUAUGCUGUGAAACCACCACCUGUGUCGAAUCGCAGUGUUUCCCAAGACCUGGAGGCUCUCUCCAGUUGCUAAUUGUGAUCACCUCUCCCGAUCACCGCUGAGCCCUGCAGGUCACCUUCUCCUGACCUAUUACACCACUGAUUGCUUAUGCUGGACACAAUUUUAUACCCUUGCUGUUGUUGAGUCUAAUCAUCCCCAUAACCCUAUGAGAUCAUCAUUCCCAUAUGACAGAGGAGAAAACUUGGGGACACAGGGGCUGUGUCCUGGCCAAGGCCUCGCUAGCAGCAAAAGGCAGAGCAGGAAUGCAGCCAGGAGCCCCAGCACAGUCCUGUUCUUCCCCAACUAACCUGGGCUGUGAAAUAUAUCAUGGCAGUUUGGAAAACGGGCUAACUGCAUGCUGAGGGAGGUGGUGAUGGAUGCCCACUUCUUUUCAUGGGACGAUGAGGUGUCUCCAUGUCUCCCUCAGGUCUAGCUUCUCUCUGUGGCUCAGAACCUUGGGAAAGUGGGCGGCUCAGAGGAGAAAAGGGACUUACUUGCCCAAGGGCCACAGCUGCUAAUUGGCUGGUAAGGGACCGUUAUUCUCCUGUCCCUUUCACAGAGGACAGGAGGAAAGUGAGGCCAGGUGGUGUACAUGAGUUUAGCAUCUUUUCUGCAGCAGGCCCAGAUCAGCUUUGCACAUGGUGCUGACCUCAAAUUCAGCCCUAGAGGGGCCUGUCUCUGCCCUGAGUAUUGAGGUGCAGGCUUCUUCCCCUUUGUUCUGUCCAUUUCCAAAAAUGUUAACACACACUUCCAACAUGUUUCUGUGUAUAUUAUUGUGUGCAUAGAUACUACCAUUGUAAAAUAUUAUGCAGAUUAAUAAUGCACUAUGCCAUUGAAAAUUUCAAAGGAAAUAUGUAAUAAACAUUUAAAAUAAA